Molecule: long non-coding RNA, 208 nt
Organism: Salvelinus fontinalis (brook trout)
Lineage: Eukaryota; Metazoa; Chordata; Actinopteri; Salmoniformes; Salmonidae
Exons: 2
Source: RefSeq, a predicted model, not a curated record
AGAGGAGAGGGCAGAACUGUACAGUGAAGGUAGAGGAAGAAGAAGGCAGAACUGUAAAGGUAGAGGAGGAAGAGGGCAGAACUGUAAAGGUAGAGGAGGAGAGUGACGUACCUGGGUCAUCUUCUCCCUGUUGGCCUUGGGGUUGAGGGGGGCCUCUGUGAGCAGGACGGGGUGCUCCUCUGGAGCCACUCUCAGCUCGUUGUAGAAG